Apis cerana (Asiatic honeybee) is the source of this 3823-nucleotide long non-coding RNA. RefSeq lists it as uncharacterized. The record is from RefSeq and is a predicted model, not a curated record. Lineage: Eukaryota; Metazoa; Arthropoda; Insecta; Hymenoptera; Apidae.
AGUGACGAAUAGCCUCUCGUUAUCCUACAACCACCCAAGAUUCCCGGAUUUUAGUUUGCAGUUUGGCAUCCGCGAAUCGUUGCCGCGUUCGCGGAUCGGGCUCCAUCUUCUUCUUUCGUUCGAACGUCUAUCCGCUCGACACGAUUUCCUUUGAGCGGAGUUAAGUAAGAGUCCGAUUUUGAAAUCGAGUGGCCACGGGCCGUAAUUCGAACAAUAGCUGCGGCCAACUCCCAUUCGUCGAUUCUCCGUCCGUUGCGUUAUCGUAUUUUUGUGAAUAGAGCGGUUGGGAAAUUUCGAUUCCGUUGAAAUCCUUGAAGAAAUUGCAACUCGGAAUCAGGUGACGAUUGUAUAGCAAAACAAUAAACUGUGUAUCAUUUAUCCGUGGAUAAUUUGAAGUAAAGAUGGAGGAGGAUAUAAGUUCAAUCGAGGAACAGAAUAAAUCGUGUCCAACUAAUAAAAUAUCUCAUAAGUCAAAUAUUCGAAAAUUUUUUAGAGAUGUUUGGCGUAAAAUUAAAGUUGAAGUUAAGGGGAAGAACGUAAACGUUUAAACGAGUAUGGGGAUUAUUAUUUCUAGACAUGGUUGAGAAUUCAAUUUAGAUGUGCAAGAGGAGAUACUGCAUAUUUUGGUGGUGGUUGACGGGAUCGUUUCAAUCCCGUCGUACAGGAACAUACGUACGCCAUGCACGAUAUAAAUGAAAUAAAUAAAAUAAAAUAAUCAAUCGAUCGAUUCAUCCUUAUUUAAUCCGUCGAGGAUCGAAGAGAGGAUCAAACACCGGACGACCAAACAAUUCCGCCAUGGAAACCGAGCCAGUUUUUUUGGCGUAUGUUUUCUCGGCCGAUCGAUGGAAGCCGAGAUCCCAAGAAAACAAGGGGCCAAUUAACACGGAUGAUGGUUAAGGAGACGAAGGAUUCAACCAACUGUCCAAAACAGAUAUCUGACACGUUCCUUGCACCAGUUACCACGAUUCUCCGACACCGCCUAGAAUCUUCAUUGAUCGUCGCCCGCUUCGAAUUUCUAUGAGACCCGAUUAUGAUGAAAAGCUUCAACGUGUUUCGCGGAAGAAAUCCUCUUACGAAUUUAGGUUAUCUGGGAGGAAGAGGGAGGGGGAAAGAAAGAAGAAAAGAAAGAAAGAAAUUAAGAAAUCUCUCGAAUUUUAAACAAAGAAUUGACUUUUCUCGUCCUUCGAGUGUAAAUCCAAUAAAAAGCGCGUAAAUACUUUAAUAAAGAUAUCGUCGUCGAUUAAAUUUUAAAGGGAAACUUUUAAGGAUAAGUAAAUAUAAAUUAAAGGAAAUUGUAUUUCUUUAAAAAAAUUAUAAAAUAACGAUAUAUUUAUUCUACGCCAAGAAUCGAGAUCGUUGAAAGGGAAAAUAAUAAUCCUCGCAAAUAUAAUCGCAUUUCUGUCCUCGCUCCUUCCCCAGUCUCCAUCCAUCUUAGAACCGCAUACGAUGCAUUGUGAUACGGUUUCGUUUUCUUUCUACUUGAUAGAACCUCGAUCAAACGUUUUUCUACCAGCCUCGAGGAACUGUAGAAGAUAGACGUAGAAAAAUGAUGUACAUCCUCUUACGAUAUUACAGGGCAACUGUGACAAGAAGAAUAUAGAAAAAUUUACCACGUCAUGGGUCUCCACGCGAACGAAACGCAUUCGUCCAACGACUAGGCAGCUCUUACUUACUUCUCACUACCGCUUUGGAUUAUUGCACGUAACUGAAUUCCGAGAGCGUAACAAUAUCGAAUUGAUCGAGAUUAAUUCGAACGAGAAUAAAUAACAAAUGCACGGAAUCUAACUGUCUCGAUAUCUGAAUAUCACGUUCCUUCGAUUUUCUUCAAAAAUAUGCCACUCGUAUAUUUGCGCGAUGAAUUGGACGCUGUUUCGAUUUUUCUAACGCAACGCGACGUAAUAUGUACGAUUCAUUGUAGCAGAAAAUCGGUUUAAUUCCUAUUUCCUCGAUUAAAUAUAUUCUCAUUGUGUAUUCUUUAUCUUUAAUCAAAUCACAACCUUAAUUCUUCGAAUGGAAUCAAAUGGAAUCCCUUAAUGAAACAUUUUCCGAAUCAAGGGACGAAAAAGUUCUUGGAAGAAGCGUAACACGAGAAGAUCUCCUUUCGGAUCUUGUCAAUUGACGCCUAAGUCAAUUAUCCUGUGGACUCAUCCUGUGAAGACUCGUUUGAAAUCCGCUGAUUCAUAGCCUGUCUCUGCGCUUUAACAACUGCUAAGAGGUGACAUUUCUAAGGAGGAUUUAGCAUCCCCUUUCAAUUGUCAAUUCUGCCAGGAUCCGUGUUAAUGAUUCGACGCGAUUCUCGUUCGUUGUAUUCGUCAGUCGAGAAUAAAAAAAAAAAAGAAAAGGAGGCCAAAAAGUCUAAAUGAAUAAAUUUGUCCAGUCGCAUGUAAAUCGUAACUCGGACUCGAACAAGCAUUUUUAUAGCUGUAGUAUUUCUCUUCCUCCCUAUCGUUCACAGGAGUCGAUACAAGAUUUUUUUUUUUAUCGUUUCCAAUUAUUUUCUCGGUUUCACGUUGCUAGGAAGUAGGUCGUCCAUUAGUUGGUUAAUUGCAUUGUUUAUAGAUUUUUCCUUGACAGCGAUGGCAUGCGGAAAUAACGAAGAAGUAACAGUGAAGCAUCAUCGAUCGGGAUGCGUCAUUUUUUUUGUUUUUUAAUUUAUAAAAUCUUUAUUCAAUGGCGAAAUAUACUUUUAUUUUCGGGAAUAAAGGUAAGAUGAAAUUCGUUUUUUUUUUUUUUUUAAUAUCAAACACGAUUAUUCGCGAAAACGUUAAUUAAAAAAGUGAAAGAACGUGGAAUAUUGUUUGCAACGAUACCGUUUUAGAUCUUUAGAAGCCUCGAAAUUGCCUUGGAAAUUAUAUUAUUUAAUUACACGCCAUAUAAUCCACUAUGUAACGAAAUAAGAUCGAAUUAUAAUCUCCAAUAAACCCUGUAUGUAUCAAAACCCUAAGGAAAUUUGCAAGCUCGCAACAAAAUAAAGCGAAUGCAUCGAUCAUCUUCGCUGUAUCAUAGUCUCAACCGUGGUAUAAACGGACGCGAUAAAAAAAGAAAAAUGGGUAUCGAGGAAAAGGAAAAUAAUUUAAAAAAAAGAAAAAAUAUCGAAUUAAUUUCACCUUUGAAGUGAAAUAAAUAAUAAAUUCACAUCGAUUAAUCAUUCUUAUAUAUACGAUGCUCGUGGUAUUCGAAUUCGUCGAUUUGUACCACUGAAACUGGAAAUGGUGUACUCUUAUUUAUUCCACGCACGUAAAAGUUGUAUAAGAUGGUAUGCUCCUUUCGAUUCGUCUAUCGAUGCUUUGGAAAAUCUUGCCGAUGGACAACAGGAUUGGAUUAUCCAGAAAAGGACUGGGUGUAGUAGCGGCCAGCCGAGCGUGAACAGGAUACACGGGAGAAAGGGAUCCUUUUCUAUUCGUGUUUCGAGCACGUAUUUCGAGGAAUAAUAAGGUAAACGGUAAAAAGAAAAGGAAAAAAAAAAGAAGGAAAAAGAGUUUGAAACCUGUCACCCCGGAAAACAGGUUCCAACGUCUUUUGCCAUCAAAGGCACGAUGCAAACAACUGGCCUCGAGAGCAUACUUCACCGAACGCGUUAGUCAGUGGUACACCGGUCGAGAGAGCUUUAUAACGCACCGCGUUAGAACCGCCAACUUUCGAAAAAAGUCAACACUUUUCCUCUUUUUUCAACCAUCUCCACCACCAUAAUACGCCGUUUAUUUGUGCAAAGAUUUUCUUCUUUCUUUCUUUCUUUCUUUUUUUUACUUUCCCCUUCCUUCGUUGCGUUGUUAUCGAUUCUGAUGACAUUCGAAGGGAAGGGAAAGAGUUGGAAAUUUCAGUA